Maniola jurtina (meadow brown) is the source of this 356-nucleotide long non-coding RNA. RefSeq lists it as uncharacterized. The transcript has 3 exons. Lineage: Eukaryota; Metazoa; Arthropoda; Insecta; Lepidoptera; Nymphalidae. The record is from RefSeq and is a predicted model, not a curated record.
UACAAACUUUCGCUUUUAUAAUAUUAGUAUAGUUGUAAUUUGUAAGUAUGGAUGGAUAUGCCUGUUACCCGUUUCUGAACUGUAUAUUUGCUAAAGAUCUAUUUGAACUGAACCGUGCAAUAAUAAAGACAUGGCCAUGGUGAUCUUUCAAAAUUUACAGUCUAUACCUAUUUACGGUGUGAACGAUGUCAAAUAAAUAAAGUCUCCACCUCACGUUAGCCCAAAGCGUUCGGCGAGGUCCGACCCACGUGUAAACGCUGUCCUUUGAUGUUUUUAUGAUAUAGGCUACCACUAAAGUCAGCUAAUGUAUGUCAAAUGCCAAAAAGUCUCUGAACAUGUUCACCAAGCGUUUUAGA